Molecule: non-coding RNA, 214 nt
Filed under: Ahrensia marina
Lineage: Bacteria; Pseudomonadati; Pseudomonadota; Alphaproteobacteria; Hyphomicrobiales; Ahrensiaceae
Also listed under: 1 other name
Source: RNAcentral
AAUAAUGUUAUCCAAUCAGGUUCCCGAACGGCAAAGCCCAAGGGGAUUAAAAGGGAAUACGGUAGGGACGACCCAAUGCGGGCCUGAUCCGUAACUGCCCUCGCAACUGUGAACGUGGAGCUUGCUGCCACAAUGCCACUAAGCAAAAGCUUGGGAAGGCGGCAACAAGCAGAGAAGCGUGAGUCAGGAGACCUGCCUGAUAUAGUGAAACUAA